AUUGAACGCUGGCGGCAUGCUUUACACAUGCAAGUCGAACGGUAACAGGGAGCUUGCUCCGCUGACGAGUGGCGGACGGGUGAGUAAUAUAUCGGAACGUACCCAAGAGUGGGGGAUAACGUAGCGAAAGGUACGCUAAUACCGCAUACGCUCUAAGGGUGAAAGCAGGGGACCUUCGGACCUUGUGCUCCUGGAGCAGCCGAUAUCUGAUUAGCUAGUUGGUGAGGUAAAGGCUCACCAAGGCGACGAUCCGUAGCUGGUCUGAGAGGAUGACCAGCCACACUGGAACUGAGACACGGUCCAGACUCCUACGGGAGGCAGCAGUGGGGAAUUUUGGACAAUGGGCGCAAGCCUGAUCCAGCAAUGCCGCGUGAGUGAAGAAGGCCUUCGGGUUGUAAAGCACUUUUGUCAGGGAAGAAACGGGAUUGGCUAAUAUCCAGUCCUAAUGACGGUACCUGAAGAAUAAGCACCGGCUAACUACGUG
RNAcentral lists this ribosomal RNA (484 nucleotides) under uncultured bacterium. Its description in RNAcentral is "partial 16S ribosomal RNA". It matches the Rfam family "Bacterial small subunit ribosomal RNA", at positions 30 to 507 of the family's 1533-position model. The record is from RNAcentral.